This is a long non-coding RNA of Esox lucius (northern pike), 401 nucleotides long. RefSeq lists it as uncharacterized. The transcript is spliced from 3 exons. The record is from RefSeq and is a predicted model, not a curated record. Lineage: Eukaryota; Metazoa; Chordata; Actinopteri; Esociformes; Esocidae.
CCCCAGCUCCCUAUUUCAAAGCCCGGUCAGCCCAUUCCAUUUGCCUUUAAUGAAUUAAACCGAUCUCUCUUGAAAUCCAUGUCAUGCUUUACCCUUUACCUUUGUACUGGAGUCCUAUGAGUCCAUUUGAAGCGGGGGAUCCAAUCUCAGGCAGGCCUGACGCCUUAUAUAUGGGUGCAAAGUGAGUCUGAACCAGAAGCAGAGAGACAGAGAGAUGAGAGGGUGAUGCUGAGCGAUCCUACAGGACAGGGGGCGCCCACGGAAGAGAGGCGGGGGGCGUGAACUACAAACAGAAGAAGACAGUGGAGUUUGUGGUGAACACGCGCAGAGUUUUCUUGUGGACUGAAAAAAUGCUGUGGUAAUGUAAGCAAUGAACAAGAUUAAACGAACCCAUCAAAUUA